Molecule: long non-coding RNA, 217 nt
Filed under: Elaeis guineensis (African oil palm)
Lineage: Eukaryota; Viridiplantae; Streptophyta; Magnoliopsida; Arecales; Arecaceae
Description: long non-coding RNA (EGUI_LNC000363)
Source: RNAcentral
AAGUGCAAAAGGCCCCUCUGCCAUGCAUGUCCUCAAAACCACAUCUUCAUAAGUUCUUGAGUCAUGUGAUUCUUGUCAAAAAAAAAAAUCAAUUAAUUGCCUAUAUAUUACUGUAACAAAAUAUAUAUAUUGUUCCAUUAUGCUUAUAAAAAAGAUUUAGGAACACAUUAAAAAAAUAACUUAAGUAACUUACAUCAUAAAUCUGAUAAAGGGAUAU